Molecule: ribosomal RNA, 252 nt
Filed under: uncultured bacterium
Lineage: Bacteria
Description: partial 16S ribosomal RNA
Rfam family: Bacterial small subunit ribosomal RNA
Source: RNAcentral
UACGGAGGAUGCGAGCGUUAUCCGGAUUUAUUGGGUUUAAAGGGUGCGUAGGCGGUCCGUUAAGUCAGCGGUAAAAUUGCGGGGCUCAACCCCGUCGAGCCGUUGAAACUGGCAGACUUGAGUUGGCGAGAAGUACGCGGAAUGCGCGGUGUAGCGGUGAAAUGCAUAGAUAUCGCGCAGAACUCCGAUUGCGAAGGCAGCAUGCCGGCUCCACACUGACGCUGAGGCACGAAAGCGUGGGUAUCGAACAGG